CCUACGGGGGGCUGCAGUGGGGAAUAUUGGACAAUGGGCGAAAGCCUGAUCCAGCCAUGCCGCGUGUGUGAAGAAGGCCUUCGGGUUGUAAAGCACUUUCAGUGGGGAAGAAAGCCUUGGGGCUAAUACCCUCGAGGAAGGACAUCACCCACAGAAGAAGCACCGGCUAACUCCGUGCCAGCAGCCGCGGUAAUACGGAGGGUGCGAGCGUUAAUCGGAAUUACUGGGCGUAAAGCGCGCGUAGGCGGUCUGAUAAGCCGGUUGUGAAAGCCCCGGGCUCAACCUGGGAACGGCAUCCGGAACUGUCAGGCUAGAGUGCAGGAGAGGAAGGUAGAAUUCCCGGUGUAGCGGUGAAAUGCGUAGAGAUCGGGAGGAAUACCAGUGGCGAAGGCGGCCUUCUGGACUGACACUGACGCUGAGGUGCGAAAGCGUGGGUAGCAAACAGGAUUAGAUACCCUUGAGUC
RNAcentral lists this ribosomal RNA (464 nucleotides) under Vreelandella stevensii. RNAcentral's name for it is "partial 16S ribosomal RNA". It matches the Rfam family "Bacterial small subunit ribosomal RNA", at positions 338 to 795 of the family's 1533-position model. The record is from RNAcentral. Lineage: Bacteria; Pseudomonadati; Pseudomonadota; Gammaproteobacteria; Oceanospirillales; Halomonadaceae.